GAGCAAUGAUGCUAUAUGAGAUAUGGUCCAGUCAAUCAUGAAUAUUACUAAUUUAACUAUUGUUUCUUUAAGAAUAAGAUUUAAUUUUUGAAAUUUAAAUUAGGUUCAAGUUGGUUUCACUAUACCAUAUGAGAUAUGAUAUGGUGGAUAAGUUAGAAGAUAGAUCUGUGAGGACUCAUUUAUGGGGUAUCCCAAAAGGGUUUGG
This 205-nucleotide long non-coding RNA is filed under the name Elaeis guineensis (African oil palm). RNAcentral's name for it is "long non-coding RNA (EGUI_LNC073882)". The record is from RNAcentral. Lineage: Eukaryota; Viridiplantae; Streptophyta; Magnoliopsida; Arecales; Arecaceae.